UGCGAGACCCACGGCCCAGGUUC
This 23-nucleotide unclassified non-coding RNA is filed under the name Mus musculus (house mouse). Its description in RNAcentral is "oocyte_clustered_small_RNA13364". Lineage: Eukaryota; Metazoa; Chordata; Mammalia; Rodentia; Muridae. The record is from RNAcentral.